CAUAAAGGGGAGCUUAUUUUGCUGAGAGGAAGCGCAAGCUUCGACCCUAUGAACCUGAUAUGGAUAAUUCCAGCGAAGGGAGACAAAG
Molecule: non-coding RNA, 88 nt
Filed under: human gut metagenome
Source: RNAcentral